Molecule: ribosomal RNA, 120 nt
Filed under: Helianthus annuus (common sunflower)
Lineage: Eukaryota; Viridiplantae; Streptophyta; Magnoliopsida; Asterales; Asteraceae
Also listed under: 1 other name
Source: RNAcentral
GGUUGCGAUCAUACCAGCACUAAUGCACCGGAUCCCAUCAGAACUCCGCAGUUAAGCGUGCUUGGGCGAGAGUAGUACCAGGAUGGGUGACCCCCUGGGAAGUCCUCGUGUUGCAACCCC